GGUAGAAGUAACUGAUACAACAACUGGACAACACUGCAACAAUCGGUAGAAAAAUAACUGAUCCAACAACUGGAGGACACUGCAAUAAUCGGUAGAAGUAACUGAUCCAACAACUGGAGGACACUGCAAUAA
Molecule: long non-coding RNA, 132 nt
Organism: Limulus polyphemus (Atlantic horseshoe crab)
Lineage: Eukaryota; Metazoa; Arthropoda; Merostomata; Xiphosura; Limulidae
Exons: 2
Source: RefSeq, a predicted model, not a curated record